UUCCGGUUGAUCCUGCCGGAGGCUACCGCUAUUGGAGUUCGAUUAAGCCAUGCGAGUCGCGAGUCUUAGGGACUCGGCGUACCGCUCAGUAACACGUGGGUAACCUGCCCUAUGCUGGGGGAUAACCUCGGGAAACUGAGAAUAAUACCCCAUAGUUCACCACGCCUGGAACGGUGGGUGGAUCAAAGCUCCGGCGGCAUAGGAUGGGCCUGCGGCGUAUCAGGUUGUAGGGGGUGUAAUGUACCCUCUAGCCCUCUACGCGUACGGGUGUUGAGAGACAUCGCCCGGAGAUGGAUUCUGAGACACGAAUCCAGACCCUACGGGGUGCAGCAGGCGCGAAAACUUGGCAAUGCGAGAAAUCGUGACCAGGGAACUCCAAGUGCAUCGGGUAAGACCGAUGCUUUUCUUGACUCUUCAAAGGUCUUGGAAUAAGGGGUGGGUAAGGACGGUGCCAGCCGCCGCGGUAAUACCGGCGCCCCAAGUGGUAGUCGCUUUUAUUGGGCCUAAAACGUCCGUAGCCGGUCUGGUACAUUCGUGGGUAAAUCAACCAGCUCAACUGGUUGAAUUCUGCGAGCACGGCCAGACUUGGGACCGGGAGAGGUGUGGGGUACUCUCAGGGUAGGGGUAAAAUCCUGUCAUCCUGAGAGGACCACCUGUUGCGAAGGCGCCACACUAGAACGGAUCCGACGGUCAGGGACGAAGCCUAGGGGCACGAACCGGAUUAGAUACCCGGGUAGUCCUAGGUGUAAACGCUGUGGACUUGAUGUUGGGGGCGCUCCGAGCGCACUCAGUGUCGAAGCGAAGGUGAUAAGUCCACUGCCUGGGGAGUACGGUCGCAAGGCUGAAACUUAAAGGAAUUGGCGGGGGAGCACCGCAACCUGAGGAUUGUGCGGUUUAAUUGGAAUCAACGCCGGA
Molecule: ribosomal RNA, 915 nt
Filed under: uncultured archaeon
Lineage: Archaea
Description: bacterial SSU rRNA
Rfam family: Archaeal small subunit ribosomal RNA
Source: RNAcentral